GAUUUCUGGCUUGGCAAGCCGAACCCGCUGCGGUUACGUGGUGAGUGUUCAGUCGUGUCAGCCAUCCUUCUAGAACACGUGACAUGCUCAUCUUCAUUGAUGGGUUGACACGCUAUCUAGAUCAUUUACUUUGAAAAAAUUAGAGUGUUUAAAGCAGGCAUUUGCUAUGAAUACAUUAGCAUGGAAUAAUAAGUUAGGACUUCGGUUCUAUUUUGUUGGUUUCGCGGGACUGAAGUAAUGAUUGAUAGGGAUAGUUGGGGGUGCUAGUAUUCAGUGGCCAGAGGUGAAAUUCUCGGAUUCACUGAAGACUAACUUAGGCGAAAGCAUU
RNAcentral lists this ribosomal RNA (328 nucleotides) under Allapsidae sp. RNAcentral's name for it is "SSU rRNA". The stretch from base 105 to 328 matches the Rfam family "Eukaryotic small subunit ribosomal RNA", at positions 731 to 955 of the family's 1831-position model. Lineage: Eukaryota; Cercozoa; Glissomonadida; Viridiraptoridae. The record is from RNAcentral.